GGAUAAUAUUUCAUAGUUGAAAAGGCUUGGAAAAGUUUUUCAAUUAAAGGGUUAAAAUAAGUGGUUUUUAAUUGCCAUAGGAUAGGAUCGUGCUCGAUUAUGGUAGUUGGUGAGGUAAUGGCUCACCAAGCCGAUAAUCGAUAGGGGCCGUGAGAGCGGGAGCCCCGAGAUGGGUACUGAGACAACGACCCAGACCUUACGAGGUGCAGCAGGCGCGAAACCUCCGCAAUACACGAAAGUGUGACGGGGUUACCCAAAGUGUUCUUAUAGAACUGUGGUAGGUGAGUAAUGUUCCCUACUAGAAAGGAGAGGGCAAGGCUGGUGCCAGCCGCCGCGGUAAAACCAGCUCUUCAAGUGGUCGGGAUAAUUAUUGGGCUUAAAGUGUCCGUAGCCGGUUUAGUAAGUUCCUGGUAAAAUCGAGUAGCUUAACUAUUCGUAUGCUAGGAAUACUGCUAAUACUAGAGGGCGGGAGAGGUCUGAGGUACUACUGGGGUAGGGGUGAAAUCUUAUAAUCCUAGUAGGACCACCAGUGGCGAAGGCGUCAGACUGGAACGCGCCUGACGGUGAGGGACGAAAGCCAGGGGAGCGAACCGGAUUAGAUACCCGGGUAGUCCUGGCCGUAAACGAUGCAUACUAGGUGAUGGCACGGCCAUGAGCCGUGUCAGUGCCGUAGGGAAACCGUUAAGUGUGCCGCCUGGGAAGUACGGUCGCAAGGCUAAAACUUAAAGGAAUUGGCGGGGGAGCACCACAAGGGGUGAAGCCUGCGGUUUAAUUGGAUUCAACGCCGGAAAUCGA
Molecule: ribosomal RNA, 795 nt
Filed under: uncultured archaeon
Lineage: Archaea
Description: bacterial SSU rRNA
Rfam family: Archaeal small subunit ribosomal RNA
Source: RNAcentral